GAUGAACGCUGGCGGCGUGCUUAACACAUGCAAGUCGAACGGAAAGGCCACAGCUUGCUGUGGUACUCGAGUGGCGAACGGGUGAGUAACACGUGGGUGAUCUGCCCUGUACUUCGGGAUAAGCUUGGGAAACUGGGUCUAAUACCGGAUAGGAAUCACAUGUGGGUGUGUGGUUGGAAAGCUUUUGCGGUAUGGGAUGAGCUCGCGGCCUAUCAGCUUGUUGGUGGGGUAAUGGCCUACCAAGGCGUCGACGGGUAGCCGGCCUGAGAGGGUGUACGGCCACAUUGGGACUGAGAUACGGUCCAGACUCCUACGGGAGGCAGCAGUGGGGAAUAUUGCACAAUGGGCGCAAGCCUGAUGCAGCGACGCCGCGUGGGGGAUGACGGCCUUCGGGUUGUAAACUCCUUUCGUCAGGGACGAAGCGAAAGUGACGGUACCUGGAUAAGAAGCACCGGCUAACUACGUG
This 466-nucleotide ribosomal RNA is filed under the name uncultured bacterium. RNAcentral's name for it is "partial 16S ribosomal RNA". It matches the Rfam family "Bacterial small subunit ribosomal RNA", at positions 28 to 507 of the family's 1533-position model. The record is from RNAcentral.